This 207-nucleotide ribosomal RNA is filed under the name uncultured Syntrophomonas sp. RNAcentral describes it as "partial 16S ribosomal RNA". It matches the Rfam family "Bacterial small subunit ribosomal RNA", at positions 568 to 774 of the family's 1533-position model. Lineage: Bacteria; Bacillati; Bacillota; Clostridia; Eubacteriales; Syntrophomonadaceae. The record is from RNAcentral.
CACGUAGGCGGGAACUUAAGUCAGGUGUGAAAGACCGAGGCUCAACCUCGGGUAUGCACUUGAAACUGGGUUUCUUGAGGGCAGGAGAGGAAAGCAGAAUUCCUGGUGUAGCGGUGAAAUGCGUAGAAAUCAGGAGGAAUACCAGUGGCGAAGGCGGCUUUCUGGACUGACCCUGACGCUGAGGUGCGAAAGCGUGGGUAGCAAACA